RNAcentral lists this ribosomal RNA (253 nucleotides) under uncultured bacterium. RNAcentral's name for it is "partial 16S ribosomal RNA". It matches the Rfam family "Bacterial small subunit ribosomal RNA", at positions 524 to 776 of the family's 1533-position model. The record is from RNAcentral.
UACGUAGGGGGCAAGCGUUGUCCGGAAUCAUUGGGCGUAAAGAGCGUGUAGGCGGCCAGAUAAGUCCGCUGUGAAAUCUCGAGGCUCAACUUCGAGCUGUCGGUGGAAACUGUCUGGCUAGAGUCCGGAAGAGGAGAAUGGAAUUCCUGGUGUAGCGGUGAAAUGCGCAGAUAUCAAGAAGAACACCCGUGGCGAAGGCGGUUCUCUGGGACGGUACUGACGCUGAGACGCGAAAGCGUGGGGAGCGAACAGG